GUCCGGCCAUUGUUGCCUUCUGAGGUGUAGAGAAGGCGCUGGCGUUGGGACGCUGGGGGUCAGGGGGCGUCCCAAGGGCCUUUUGUGUCACCAGCAGAGUGUUGCCGAGUGGGCAGUGGUUUGCCCAGUGACGGGGACGGCGGCUGUGGCCCCUCACCCGGCACCGCGCCCCCCCUUUAUUCACUGACUUCUGGGAGCAGCGGGAGUUUUCCUGAGGAGACUCUCUAGAGAGACGUGGAGGGGGGCGUCAGUCUCGGGAGGGCGCUGGCCCGGUCCCCGCCACCAUACAGGGUCCCCCAGCACGGUCGGAGCGAUCACCUCGAAAUCUCCAAAGAAACCCGGGUGUGAGAAGCAGCGUGGGGCCGGGGAGGAACAUGAGCUCUGACACAGAAUGUUCCUUGAUGUGGCCGUAAGCUUCACCCCCAAAGAAGAACGUGCCUGCAUGCUGCCUUCAGAGGAAGCUCUAUGGGGACUUGAUGCUGUAGACCUGCCAGCACCUGCAGGCUGUUGCUGGGAACCAUGUGUGGCCGACUUUCCUGGAAGAUCCACUGGGGCUCCUGUCAGGAAUUUCUAUUCUCACACGUCAAGAAGCAAAGCCUCUGUCACUUCAAAUCUCCCUGAUCUGGUGACUCCCGGAGACUGCCCACUGGGUCAGGAAUUUGAAUUUUUAUUCUCACACGUCAAGAAGCGAAGCCCCUCUCAUUUCAGAUCUCCCUGAUCUGGUGACUCCCGGAGACUGCCCACUGGUUCCCAUUUUGUUGUUGCCGUACUUCUGCGCCACACCCUAAAGUGCUCAGGCCUUACUCCUGACUCUGAACUGAGGAAUCACUGCUGCCAGUCGCCCAUAAGCUUUGCAUGGGUACUGGUCUUGGGUCUUGCACAGAGCUUAUUUCAGAUCCUCAGGAAUUAGAGAUGGGAAGAUGGUGACACGCUUUCUGAUUCACUGUCCACAGAAAAAUAAUUUCUGCUUCACCUGUCAGGUUUCAGAGCAAUCUCUCAUUGACGGAGGUAUUUCUCCCGGACCAGAGGCUGCCCCUUCUGUUCUGGUGAUUCCCUGGACCCACGUGCUGAUCCUUGGGAAUUACAGAAGCUGCAGACAAUGUUGAAGAGCCAUCUGAUACACUGUUCCCAGGUUGGAGGAGAACAAUGUGGUGACAUGAUGCAGUGACAGGCAGAAAGGAAAUCGUAGCUUCAGGGGUUUUCACUGCAACAAUUUGAUUUGGGAAUUGAGUCACCAAAAACGAGUGAAUUGGGAAGCAGCCAGCCCUAGUGGAAUGUCUCUGAUCCUGCACUGUGUGACAGUGUCUCAGAGUGAGCAAUCUCGCCCUCUGCCCCAUGGGGAUGCCGAGACAGGCCUAAUGUCUUCUGAGGGUGAUCAGAGUGGAGAGAUCAACCUCACAGUGAAGAAGCUUUCCCCUGGGAAAAACUCCUCACAGUCUGUUCUCCUCAGUUUCUGGACACAAACCCCUCAAGGCAGAAGCCCCAGGACAGUGGGAGAGGAGCACCGUUUAUGAAAGAGUCAUUCUGGAGAGAAACCAUAUUCAUGUCAGGACUGUGGAAACGUCUUUGCUUAUCACUCAAGCCUUUCUGUGCACAAGGAUAAUCACACUGGAGAGAAACAGUGACUGAAAUCAUCAGUAUGGAGUGGCCUCUGAAGAUCACUUAGAAGUAUGGAAUGCUGAGAAAGAGCUGUCUGGACCUGAUGCUAGACUUUGGUAGCUGAAUGAUGCUGGGGAGAGUUACCAGAUCCUCAUUUAGAUAGGAAGGCUGUGAGCAGAGGUGAUCUAAAUGGCAAGUUUAAGAUACAUGAAACUUAAAAGCGGUGAUAAAAUUGAGUGAUGUUCAGUAACAUCUCUGUAAUAUGAAUAAAAAUAUUGUGAUACGAUGCAAAGUCAAGGCAGAGAUAAUGCUAAUA
This is a long non-coding RNA of Sorex araneus (European shrew), 1915 nucleotides long. RefSeq lists it as uncharacterized. NCBI's taxonomy places the organism in Eukaryota, Metazoa, Chordata, Mammalia, Eulipotyphla, Soricidae. The record is from RefSeq and is a predicted model, not a curated record. The transcript has 12 exons.